CCUACGGGUGGCAGCAGUGGGGAAUAUUGGGCAAUGGACGCAAGUCUGACCCAGCAACGCCGCGUGAAGGAAGAAGGCUUUCGGGUUGUAAACUUCUUUUAAGGGGGAAGAGCAGAAGACGGUACCCCUUGAAUAAGCCACGGCUAACUACGUGCCAGCAGCCGCGGUAAUACGUAGGUGGCAAGCGUUAUCCGGAUUUACUGGGUGUAAAGGGCGUGUAGGCGGGAGAGCAAGUCAGACGUGAAAUUCCAGGGCUCAACCCUGGAACUGCGUUUGAAACUGUUCUUCUUGAGUGAUGGAGAGGCAGGCGGAAUUCCGUGUGUAGCGGUGAAAUGCGUAGAUAUACGGAGGAACACCAGUGGCGAAGGCGGCCUGCUGGACAUUAACUGACGCUGAGGCGCGAAAGCGUGGGGAGCAAACAGGAUUAGAUACCCGGGUAGUC
Molecule: ribosomal RNA, 442 nt
Filed under: uncultured bacterium
Lineage: Bacteria
Description: partial 16S ribosomal RNA
Rfam family: Bacterial small subunit ribosomal RNA
Source: RNAcentral